This 648-nucleotide ribosomal RNA is filed under the name uncultured Mycobacterium sp. RNAcentral's name for it is "bacterial SSU rRNA". It matches the Rfam family "Bacterial small subunit ribosomal RNA", at positions 62 to 734 of the family's 1533-position model. The record is from RNAcentral. Lineage: Bacteria; Bacillati; Actinomycetota; Actinomycetes; Mycobacteriales; Mycobacteriaceae.
UCGAACGGACCCUUUCGGGGUUAGUGGCGAACGGGUGAGUAACACCUGGGUGAUCUGCCCUGCACUUUGGGAUAAGCCUGGGAAACUGGGUCUAAUACCGGAUAGGACUACGCACUGCAUGGUGUGUGGUGGAAAGCUUUUGCGGUGUGGGAUGGGCCCGCGGCCUAUCAGCUUGUUGGUGGGGUGAUGGCCUACCAAGGCGACGACGGGUAGCCGGCCUGAGAGGGUGACCGGCCACACUGGGACUGAGAUACGGCCCAGACUCCUACGGGAGGCAGCAGUGGGGAAUAUUGCACAAUGGGCGCAAGCCUGAUGCAGCGACGCCGCGUGAGGGAUGACGGCCUUCGGGUUGUAAACCUCUUUCGCCAGGGACGAAGCGCAAGUGACGGUACCUGGAGAAGAAGGACCGGCCAACUACGUGCCAGCAGCCGCGGUAAUACGUAGGGUCCGAGCGUUGUCCGGAAUUACUGGGCGUAAAGAGCUCGUAGGUGGUUUGUCGCGUUGUUCGUGAAAACUCACAGCUUAACUGUGGGCGUGCGGGCGAUACGGGCAGACUGGAGUACUGCAGGGGAGACUGGAAUUCCUGGUGUAGCGGUGGAAUGCGCAGAUAUCAGGAGGAACACGGGUGGCGAAGGCGGGUCUCUGGGC